GGGAUGAUUGAGCCCAAAGCUCCGAAUGGACAUCAUUUCAUUUUGGUGGCAAUUGACUACUUCACAAAAAGGGUUGAAGCAGCAUCGUAUGCAAAUGUAACUAUAAGACCCUAAUUUUGACCCUAAGAUCCCUCAUGGCAUCAUAUCAUUUUCUCAUUGCAUUGCCUCAAGGAUCAUAGCAUGUGUGGCUCCUUAACCCUUGGGUUGGGACUUGUGUGAGUUGGUUUGAGACCACCAAGCAUGCUUGAAU
Molecule: long non-coding RNA, 250 nt
Filed under: Lathyrus oleraceus (garden pea)
Lineage: Eukaryota; Viridiplantae; Streptophyta; Magnoliopsida; Fabales; Fabaceae
Description: Pisum sativum (pea) long non-coding RNA (PSAT_LNC016821)
Source: RNAcentral